Molecule: ribosomal RNA, 253 nt
Filed under: uncultured bacterium
Lineage: Bacteria
Description: partial 16S ribosomal RNA
Rfam family: Bacterial small subunit ribosomal RNA
Source: RNAcentral
UACAGAGGGUGCGAGCGUUGUCCGGAAUCACUGGGCGUAAAGGGCGCGUAGGCGGUUUGCUAAGCGUGCGGUGAAAGCCCGGGGCUCAACCCCGGGUCGGCCGUGCGAACUGGUGGACUGGAGCUUGUCAGAGGCAGGCGGAAUUCCGGGUGUAGCGGUGGAAUGCGUAGAGAUCCGGAAGAACACCGGUGGCGAAGGCGGCCUGCUGGGACAGUGCUGACGCUGAAGCGCGACAGCGUGGGGAGCAAACAGG